This 409-nucleotide long non-coding RNA is filed under the name Notechis scutatus (mainland tiger snake). Its description in RNAcentral is "lncRNA (ENSNSUG00000006642.1)". The record is from RNAcentral. Lineage: Eukaryota; Metazoa; Chordata; Lepidosauria; Squamata; Elapidae.
CUUUAUCCCUUUUAAACAUGCUUUCCUUCGCCUAUUUUUUUUUCUCUAGAGUCCAUAAUGGACCAAUAUGAAAAUGUGCCUGAGUCUCAACGGCAUUCACUUGGUGAAUAUGUGAACGUACUAGAGCCGGAACCGAUCGUACUAGAUCCUUGUUUUGGUUGAAAAGAGGAUUUCAAAGGAUCAGUUUUGCAUUGGGGGAUCUAUUAAUCUUCGCAAAGGAUGGAUCACCAGCCAGGACACCUUCUCCUGAACAACUUCCAAUUUUGUCAUAUCCUAAGUUUUCUCCCUUGCACUUUGGAUGACGCAUCCUGAGAAUUUCUCCCAAUUAUCAGUAGCAGUAUUUUGAUGGACUUUUCCCAAAGCAAUUCAGUUUUGCUUUUAAGUUUGGUUGACUAAUAAAGAACCAAGA